Molecule: ribosomal RNA, 407 nt
Filed under: uncultured bacterium
Lineage: Bacteria
Description: bacterial SSU rRNA
Rfam family: Bacterial small subunit ribosomal RNA
Source: RNAcentral
CAGGCCUAACACAUGCGAGUCGAACGCUAAGGCCCGCUUGUGGGUACAUGAGUAGCGAACGGGUGAGUAACACGUGAUCAACCUGCCUUUGACUCUGGAAUAACAGCUGGAUACAGCUGUUAAUACCGGAUAUGACCUCCGACGACAUCGUCUGGAGGUGGAAAGCUCACGGCGCUACAAGGAUGGGCUCGCGGCUACUCAGCCUAGUUGGUGAGGUUACGGCCCACCAAGGCUUCGACGGGUAGCCGGCCUGAGAGGACGACUGGCCACACUGGGACUAAGAUACGGCCCAGACUCCUACGGGAGGCACCAGUGGGAAUAUUGCACAAUGGGCGCAAGCCUGACGCAGCAACGCCGCGUGCGGGACCACGGCCUUCGGGUUGUAAACCUCUUUCAUCCACGACGAA